UGUCUCUGAUUAAUGUACAUGUGCAUAAGGUGUAUAAGCUCUGGUAAAAGUAGAGAGUUUUGUCACCUGAAACAGAGAACUCCUUAAUUGCAUUGGAUGUUAAAAAUAAAGUUUACAUGGAAGAUAAAUUACAGCAGAAUUAAGGUUGAACGAAAAUGAUUAUUUUAUUCAAUAAUAAUGCAAUGCCAACAGGAAUUUGUCACGUGCAGUGACAUUGUGUUCCCACGUGAGUUAAUUUGCAUAUAGGAAUUUAUUAAAUACGUGCAGUGACAUUGCGUUCGCACGUGGAACAGUUGAAGGGUAGCAUUCCAGUGGAUUUUUUUUUUUCAAAUUGUUGUCCCUGAAUAAUUAACUCGCUUAUUUACACCAGUAUUUUCAAUGAUAAACCUGUGACAGUGUCUCCUUCAUUGUCACAUUGACUUGCAGGUUUUAUGUAACUCCCUUUCUGGAGAAGGUUAAAAGACGUUCUCCACCUUAGUCUCAGAAACUAAAAAAUAAAUUGAAACAAUAUAAAACCUAAUCAACAUUCUGGGCAAAACGUUGGUGUAAGUGAUGCAAACAAUUAAUUAGGUUUUUGUAGGUCAAGUUGGGAGGACGGUGCAGACGCUGCAGGCGUGCAUUAUGCAGCAUCCGCAAAGCAAAGCAGCUGCUGGAUCUGUAGGAGUGUUAGGAUAAUGUUAUAGGCAUUUAAAUUCGGCGAAAUAUUCUCAUACGCGUUUAGAAACCUCCGCACCACGUUCUAUCGCUUUUCCGUUCGACAAAAAGGCAUAUUCAUACGUAAUGUUCGGCAAACUCGUGGUUUUUUUUGGCUAAACCGGAGACGGUUUAAUUGGUACGAAGACCGUGAAGGGACAUGGGAGUUAUUUGGGUUUUUUUCAUAAUACUAUUACGUAUGUGUAAGUGUCACGUACAUACGUAACUCACGCACGUAAUAUUAUCACGUACGUAGGUAAUAUAAUCACGUAGGGCCCACGUGAUAAUUAUUACGUACGUAGGGCCCACGUGAUAAUUAUUAAGUGCGUAUACACAACGUAUACUCGUUUAAGGAUACACGUAUUAUCACUUACAUAUGCAAUACAUGUACGUACGUAAUAUGUACUUAUUUAUCAGGUAUGUACGCAAUAAUAAUACUAAUAUUGCGUUAGUACGUAAUAUUAUAUUAUCAUGUACGUAUGUGAUAAAUUAAAUGUAUCACGUACGUACGUUGUGAUUGUCAUGUGUAGGCCUAUAGUAGUAGGCCCUAAAUAAGAACAAUAGGCCUAUGUUCAUCUCCUCUUGGUCUUCGUACCCACGUACCCGCGUAUCCGCAUAUCCGCGUACCUGCGUAAUCGCGCGAUUUCGUGUACCAUACUUCGAAGUGAUAAAAUCUAGGGAACUGUUUAGCAAAGUGCAAUGAACAGUGUUAGGGAAAAUGAAGCAAACGAAAAUUAGGGAGCCAGCAUAGCCCGCUGCGAGCAUGCGCACAUUGAGCCUGCACGCAGUGCGAUGGGGAUUUUAUAAGUUUAAAAAAAAAAAAAAAAAAAAAGGACAAAAAUAACACUAACUUUAUGCAAACGAAAAUCAAAAUCAGUCUAAUGAAAAACACUGUCCCCCUAAACUUGAAAGUACUGGUGUAUUUCAUUUUAUUUUCGCUAUUAAGAAACUUCACUCGCAAAUUUAUAGUCGGUUUUGAAAUUGAUUGAGAGUCAUUUUGUGAUAUUUUAUCGAUCAACUGGAAUGCUGCCCUCUAUACGGACAUUGGCUGGUACUUUGCUGAACUCAAAACAAUAAUUAAACAAAGUUAGUAAAACAACUACAGAAAGUGGCAAUGCCUGGUGCGUUGUCCACCAACGACGAUAUAAUUUCUUUAUAAUUGUAUAAAAUGUUUAAGAGCAAACAAGAUUCAUAAAAUCUAGGCCAUCGGCAAUUGACAGUGACCAUGCCUGGUGCAGUGUCACUUGUAAGGGGUAUCCUCUUCGGUGCGUAUUAGUAGCGCUGAUUUCCAAGAGACCCCUUCCUUCAGAAGAACUUGAACAUUAAAACUUAAACCAUAACCAUUUAACAAAAACACGGAAGGACGUUACUACCGUUAUGUUUAGCCAUACAGAGAAAACUGUUGGUUAAUAAUUAACACUCAUUCCUAAAUGAGCUCUCUGUUAAGGUGACAUAUACGCUCUUAUAGUAACACUAAAAGGUCAAAAAUCUGGGAUUAACAGCGUCUGUAAAAGCGCCGCAUUGUCUAUACUUCGCUAGUCUGUGAGCAGUGAGGGCACAGUUGACAGUUGACCAUAGUUUAAUGAUCGUAGUAAAAUCAAAAGUCAUAACUUUGGUUAAUUAUACUUUGCAUAAAUUUAUAUAAACGACAUUUAUAUUCUGUGAAGAGCUUUAUAGCUCGGAUCGUUAUUAAGUAUUUAAAGAUAAACUUAUCUGUAAGUAAAAAAAAUGCUUACAGAGAAAAUGACUUUUGGGGGAAAAACUCAAAAGUAGAUUGUAUUUUGUUUCAUUGUAAAUGUUGCAUGUUUGAUUUUUUGCCUUUGUGUGCAUUGCUCUCUGUGUGGUGUGAUUUUUUUAAUGGUAUCCGUCUGUUGUCUCUGACAAUAGACAAAAUUAAAGCAAUUUAAAUCAAAUUAAUUGUUGCGGCUACGAAAAUGUCAAAUCGUUAAGCAAAAUCGAAGCAGAUGUUGAAAAGAUUAGUGUUAUAAGUGUUGAAAAGUGUUAUGUUUUUCUCAACUGCAAUACGUCGGUUAAAAAAUGUUACGGUUUUGAAGAGGCAAACCUCAAAUUGACGAAAAUACGAAAUCAACUUUAAUUUGUUAGGCAGUAUUGGAAUAAAUAAUACCUACCCGGAGAUUUACUUGACUACGCGUAUGACGAAAACUGAAAACAAAAUUCAAAUCGGUGCAAAAUAAAUGGUAGCGAAAAUCACAUCGUAAACGAAUUUGUUUUCCGAAAAACAAAUCACUCCGCUUUCUACGUGUAGGCCUACACGCUAGGAAAAUGAUGAAAAUUACGCGAGGAAAACAUCACAGCGUUAGUGAGAGUAAAAAUACCCGAAAUCAGUAUUAUUGUUCUUGCCACAAAGUAAACAAAAUGGAUUAUGGAAAUAACAAAUCAAAAUGACGAAAAUAACGGCAUAAAAAUUAAUCAUCGGCAACGAGAGAAGUAAAUACAAGUGUUUUCGGAAAGCGAAUUUCGGCAAACGGUGGGAAAAUGACAGUGGGAAAAUGACGGCAGCAAAAGAAAGUGAAAUUGACGAAAUUACGAGAAAAAACUCACACCAUAAUGAUUAAAAUAUCUGUUUAGAAAAUGACUGAAUUUCAGUUAUAAACAGCGGCAUUUCAAAAACAUCAAAAUUGUUGGCAUUGUCGGGAAGUGCCUUCAAAAAGACCUAAUUGCCCCCCCCCCCCACCAAAAAAGUACAUUGUGAAAGGGUACAACUUAUUGGCAACCUGCCGUUAUCGGUGUCGGCACAUGUUCGUGUGCAUUAUGACAAAAAGAUCAUGUCUGUUUUUAAAAGUAAAUAGUGGAAACAUGGGUAGAAUCGUUUAGUUUCUAUUUGGUAACAAGUGGCUUUAUUACAAGUAGGCUUAGACAUAAUGCUUUGGAAUGUUCACUUCAGUAACAAAUGGGCUAGGCCCAGUGUUUUCGUAACCCUGUUCACUUAGGAAAGAGUUGCAGCUUUCAUCAAAGAAACUGAUGAUCUAAAAGUUGAGACUGCAUGGAUGAGCUAGGCUGCUUUGUUUGGACGAAAAUAAACCCUCCAAGGCUCCAACUGCCUCGUCAAACAGAAACUCGAGGAACCGGAAGCAGGGAGGAGGACCGACAGAUGAACGGAUGACCUGCUUGCUGUGCUACCCAUUACUGAUUCUUGAGAAAAAUGAAGACCACUGACUGUUGAGGGAAUUGCUUCACUGAGAUUGAUGAGCCUGCCUCAAGACAUCGUCAGGGCUCCAACAGCCUUAUCACACAGAAACUCGAGGAACCGGAAGCGGGGAGGAGGACCGACAGAUGAACGGAUGACCUGCUUGCUGGGCUUCCCAUUACUGACUAUCGGAAAAAUGAGGUCCACUGACUGAUGAGGGAAUUGCUCUACUGGGAUUGAUGAGCCUACCUCACGACAUCGUCAGGGCGCCAACAGCCUCAUCAAACAGAAACAUGAGGAACUGGAAGCAGGGAGGAGGACCGACAGAUGAACGGAUGACCUGCUUGCUGGGCUUCCCAUUCCUGAU
Molecule: long non-coding RNA, 4208 nt
Organism: Patiria miniata (bat star)
Lineage: Eukaryota; Metazoa; Echinodermata; Asteroidea; Valvatida; Asterinidae
Exons: 3
Source: RefSeq, a predicted model, not a curated record